AUUAUAAGACAGUCCUAUUGAAUAACCUAUCUUCAACUUUUGGUGGUUCUCGUUAAUUAAUAGCUUGUAAGCACAAGAAUGGGCACUCUACCUUUUAUGCUUUUUUCUCUCAAGUUCCUAUUGUUUUCCAUCCAAAUUUCCUCUGAAACUGAUAUCAUAACUCAGUUUCAUUCUCUUCAUGAUGGAAGCACAUUGACCAAUGGAGCAUUUGAGUUGGGUUUCUUCAGUCCAGGUAGUUCUACAAACCGCUACGUAGGAAUUUGGUUCAAAAAUGUCCCUAUAAAAACGGUUGUCUGGGUUGCCAAUCGUAACCAUCCAAUUCAGGACAAAUCCGGAACAUUGAGUAUAAGCAAGGAAGGAAACAUUGUCCUUCAAAGCAAAAAUGGCACAAAUCAUUGGUCAACAAACAUAACAACCAAAGUCUCAACCUCAAACUUGGUAGCAGGGCUCUUAGGAUCCGGCAACUUCGUAUUAACCGACGAGAAAGACAACCGUGACAGUGGAUUUUACUUGUGGCAGAGCUUUGACUAUCCUACUGAUACAAUCCUUCCAGGAAUGAAGUUUGGUUGGAAUCUAACAAGCCGCUUUAAUAGGCGCCUAACAGCAUGGAACAAUUGGGACGACCCUUCUUCAGGUCAAAUUACUUAUGGCUUCAUAAAAAGUGACUUGCCUGAAUCGAAAAUCCAAAAUGGUUCAUCAGUGAUAUACAGAAGUGGACCUUUUAAUGGCCUUCGUUUUGGUGCUACACAAAAACUGAAACAUGUUCCAUUAUUCAUCGUUGAUUUUGUGUACAAAACUGAUGAGUAUUAUUUUCAUUAUCAACCCAAAGAUCCUUCACUACUCUCAAGAAUUGUUAUCAACCAAACUGUUUCGGCGCUGCAGCGCUUUAUUUGGGUUGAAGAGAAUCAAAAAUGGAUAUUGUAUUUGAAUGUUCCGAGAGAUGAAUGUGAUAAUUACAACCGAUGUAGUUCCUUUGGGAUUUGUGCGAUGAUUGGUAAGUCCUCAAUGUGUGAGUGCUUAAGCGGGUUCACUCCCAAAUCACCUCAAAAUUGGAGUGUAAAGGACUGGAGUCAAGGAUGCAUGCGUAAUGAAAAUUGGAGAUGCAGAGAGAAAAAUAAAGAUGGGUUCAUCAAAUUUCAAAAUGUAAAGGUCCCGGACACUAAGAAAUCUUGGAUAAGUAAAAGUAUGACACUUGAGACAUGUAAGGUCAAAUGUUGGGAGAAUUGUUCUUGUACAGCUUAUGCCAACUCCAACAUUACAGGAAAUGGAAGUGGUUGCAUCAUUUGGUUCAGUGAUCUUUUGGACAUGAGACAAUUGCCUGAUUCUGGACAAGAUUUAUAUGUUAGAUCCUCUGCCAUAGAAACAACAAACCGAGAUGAUUCAAGAAAAAGGAUGGUUGUUGUCACAAGUACCACUUGCUCAAUUAUUGUGAUACUUUUUCUAUUCAUCAUCGUUUUUUGUUGGAGGAGAAAAGCUAAAUCUAAAUUUAGAGAAACAAAAUUAAAGGAAAGCAAAAGUGAACAAGAAGACCUGGAACUACCUUUCUUUGACUUUGGUGCAAUAAAAUUUGCCACUAAUGACUUCUCAAAUAACAACAAACUAGGAGAAGGUGGUUUUGGUCCAGUAUAUAAGGGCAUGCUAUCAGAUGGACACGAAAUUGCAGUUAAAAGGCUUUCACAUAGCUCUGCACAAGGAAUAGAAGAAUUUAAGAAUGAGGUUUUAUUUUGUUCCAAACUUCAACAUCGAAACCUAGUUAAGGUCCUUGGUUUUUGCAUUGAAGAACAAGAGAAAUUACUCAUCUAUGAAUAUAUGCUCAAUAAAAGCUUAGACUUAUUUCUUUUUGAUUCCUCUCGAAGUAAAUUUUUAGAUUGGUCUCAACGGUUUGCCAUUAUAUGUGGUAUUUCUAGAGGACUUAUUUACCUUCACCAGGACUCUAGAUUACGAGUCAUACAUAGAGAUUUAAAAGCAAGUAAUAUUUUAUUAGAUGCUGAUAUGAGUCCCAAAAUAGCUGAUUUUGGCCUUGCUCGAAUGUGUGGAGAUGAUCAGAUUCAAGGAAACACAAGUAGAGUUGUUGGUACAUAUGGUUAUAUGGCGCCCGAAUAUGCAAUUGAUGGAAUAUUCUCCAUCAAAUCUGAUGUAUAUAGCUUUGGAAUUUUAUUGCUAGAGAUUAUAAGUGGAAAGAAAAAUAAAGGACUUUCCCAUUCAAAUCGCAACUACAAUCUUAUUUCUCAGAAAGUGUUACGUGAAAGAGCAGAAGCAUCGUGAAAGUGGAAAAAGGGAAAAGGGGAAGAGCAAGAGCAGAGGUUGAAGAACGGAAAGGAUUGAAGCUCAAAGAUUUGCCGAAUUAUCUCAGAUAAAGCGGAGUAGCUAUUGUUGAGGUUUGAAGAAUAAGGGUAGAGUUAUUCUACAGAGUCGAGUCAAAUGCUCUGGUCAUGUGACACCGGGGAUUAUGGGAUUCGAUAGAUAAAUUAUAUUAUUAUUUACAUUGUUUAUGAUGACGAUUAUGUUGAGAUGAUGUUGAACAGUAUUACGAACGGUUAUAUGGCGAACGUUAAUAUUUUGUUGU
Molecule: RNA transcript, 2566 nt
Organism: Lathyrus oleraceus (garden pea)
Lineage: Eukaryota; Viridiplantae; Streptophyta; Magnoliopsida; Fabales; Fabaceae
Gene name: G-type lectin S-receptor-like serine/threonine-protein kinase At4g27290
Exons: 8
Source: RefSeq, a predicted model, not a curated record